CCUACGGGUGGCAGCAGUGAGGAAUAUUGGGCAAUGGCCGGAAGGCGGAACCAGCCAAGCCGCGGGAAGGACGAAGGUGCCAAGCAUUGUAAACUUCUUUUGUCAAGGGACAAAAUCAGGCUCGAGAGCCUGACCGAGGGUACUUGAAGAAAAAGCAUCGGCUAACUCCGUGCCAGCAGCCGCGGUAAUACGGAGGAUGCGAGCGUUAUCCGGAUUUACUGGGUGUAAAGGGCGUGUAGGCGGGAGUGCAAGUCAGAUGUGAAAACUAUGGGCUCAACCCGUAGCCUGCAUUUGAAACUGGACUGCUUGAGUGCUGGAGAGGCAAUCGGAAUUCCGUGUGUAGCGGUGAAAUGCGUAGAUAUACGGAGGAACACCAGUGGCGAAGGCGGAUUGCUGGACAGUAACUGACGCUGAGGCGCGAAAGCGUGGGGAGCAAACAGGAUUAGAUACCCGGGUAGUC
RNAcentral lists this ribosomal RNA (460 nucleotides) under uncultured bacterium. RNAcentral's name for it is "partial 16S ribosomal RNA". It matches the Rfam family "Bacterial small subunit ribosomal RNA", at positions 338 to 795 of the family's 1533-position model. The record is from RNAcentral.